Molecule: ribosomal RNA, 407 nt
Filed under: uncultured bacterium
Lineage: Bacteria
Description: partial 16S ribosomal RNA
Rfam family: Bacterial small subunit ribosomal RNA
Source: RNAcentral
UGGGGAAUAUUGCACAAUGGGCGCAAGCCUGAUGCAGCCAUGCCGCGUGUGUGAAGAAGGCCUUCGGGUUGUAAAGCACUUUCAGCGAGGAGGAAGGUGGUGAGCUUAAUACGCUCAUCAAUUGACGUUACUCGCAGAAGAAGCACCGGCUAACUCCGUGCCAGCAGCCGCGGUAAUACGGAGGGUGCAAGCGUUAAUCGGAAUUACUGGGCGUAAAGCGCACGCAGGCGGUUUGUUAAGUCAGAUGUGAAAUCCCCGGGCUCAACCUGGGAACUGCAUUUGAAACUGGCAAGCUAGAGUCUCGUAGAGGGGGGUAGAAUUCCAGGUGUAGCGGUGAAAUGCGUAGAGAUCUGGAGGAAUACCGUGGCGAAGGCGGCCCCCUGGACGAAGACUGACGCUCAGGUGCG